RNAcentral lists this ribosomal RNA (460 nucleotides) under uncultured bacterium. RNAcentral's name for it is "partial 16S ribosomal RNA". It matches the Rfam family "Bacterial small subunit ribosomal RNA", at positions 338 to 795 of the family's 1533-position model. The record is from RNAcentral.
CCUACGGGUGGCAGCAGUGAGGAAUAUUGGUCAAUGGGCGUAAGCCUGAACCAGCCAAGUCGCGUGAAGGAUGAAUGUUCUAUGGAUCGUAAACCUCUUUUAUAAGGGAAUAAAGUGUGGGACGUGUCCUUUUUUGUAUGUACUUUAUGAAUAAGGAUCGGCUAACUCCGUGCCAGCAGCCGCGGUAAUACGGAGGAUCCGAGCGUUAUCCGGAUUUAUUGGGUUUAAAGGGUGCGUAGGUGGGCUUUUAAGUCAGCUGUGAAAGUUUGCGGCUCAACCGUAGAAUUGCCGUUGAUACUGGGAGGCUUGAGUAUGUUUGAGGCAGGCGGAAUGCGUGGUGUAGCGGUGAAAUGCUUAGAUAUCACGAAGAACCCCGAUUGCGAAGGCAGCCUGCCAAGCCAUGACUGACGCUGAUGCACGAAAGUGUGGGGAUCAAACAGGAUUAGAUACCCGGGUAGUC